CGGCGCGAUCUGCUGAAUAGCAAACAUGCUACAGGGUUAGUUUGCUGUCAAGUGCUAGUUAGCGGUUUCUCCUCCCCUGAAGCGUGAUCGCCGGGCUGGACUCUGCGCUGGAUCUCGCCACUGACGAAGAGGUGGCGUUCGACUCUAGCCACCCCGGAGAGGAGACCAGGGACUUCCUACAGCGACUCCCCACUGAAGGUAGGAGAGAGCAGAUGCCCUCCGCAUCCUGUGGAAAGCAGCAAGCCCUCCUCUGAAAGGCUUUCCACGCUGGGACGCUUCAGCAGCCCCUACGUUGGAGAGCCAAGCUGUGGGGGCAGGAUUUGAAGGACGCAGCUCCCCCGUUGCUGUCGCUCCAGCCAGACCCAGCAUCUUGGAACUCGGAUCGAAGGAGUCCCCAGAGAACGGAAUUGGGAGCAGAAGUUGGGGACCAGAAUCUCCCGCUCUUCCAAACAAGAGCAGCACCAAGAGUUGCUCCAGGCAGAAAGGUGAGUGGCCUCCACCCGUCCCCCUGUGAGCUUGACAAUCGUGAGCUCCAGGUUAACCAGGGGAUCGGAGCGUUUCCUCCCCUUCCACAAAGGUUUGUUUUUCCCCAGGCCCACGGCACAUUCUUAGGUUGCACAUUAACUU
RNAcentral lists this long non-coding RNA (627 nucleotides) under Chrysemys picta bellii (western painted turtle). Its description in RNAcentral is "lncRNA (ENSCPBG00000025026.1)". Lineage: Eukaryota; Metazoa; Chordata; Testudines; Emydidae. The record is from RNAcentral.